This 322-nucleotide long non-coding RNA is filed under the name Erythranthe guttata (spotted monkey flower). RNAcentral describes it as "long non-coding RNA (EGUT_LNC002995)". Lineage: Eukaryota; Viridiplantae; Streptophyta; Magnoliopsida; Lamiales; Phrymaceae. The record is from RNAcentral.
CCGCCACCGCAUCACCACAACCACGGCUGCACCACAGCCGCACCACCGCGGCAUCACCACAACCACGGCCGCACCACCGCCGCAUCGGCCGCACUUCCGCCGCAUCACCACCACCACGGCGGCACCACCGCCGCAUCACCACCUGCCUUCUGCGUUGAUAUUCGACGGAUUUUUGUGGAAUUUUUUUUUGGGUUGUUGCUGGGUUUUGCAGAAGCUCAAAUCUUUCCCUUUUUUUUUCUUUUUCUCGAUCUGAUUAAAGAGGGAGAUUGAAAUUUUUGGUUUAUUGUAUUUUGGAAUUCAAUUUCAGAGUGGGAAGACGAUG